Molecule: long non-coding RNA, 1353 nt
Filed under: Theobroma cacao (cacao)
Lineage: Eukaryota; Viridiplantae; Streptophyta; Magnoliopsida; Malvales; Malvaceae
Description: long non-coding RNA (TCAC_LNC001693)
Source: RNAcentral
UUGGCUUUGGCUGAGUCUCACUCUCACGCGGUGAUCCACGUGAAGUGCACUCAAAUCUUUACCUUCAGAGACACCCUCCACACGGCUCUCCGAUCGAGGUAAGGUAUAUCUGAUUCUGUGCCCCCUCUCUUAGGUUGGUCCACAGAACCUCCACUAAAGGAAUUAUGGAUUAUUUUAUCUACUACCUAAUUUAUAAAAUCUUUAUCUGCAUGACAUGGUAAUUUAUCGCAACCUAGCCUCUCAAGGCUAAAUACACAGUACAAAUAAUUCUAACACCAAAAAUCAAUUUAGCCAUUCAUGCUCAUAUAUUGUCAUAAGCCAUUCAAUUUAAAACCAUAAAUUUACAACACAUCAAGUGGUCUCCAAUUACUCUAUUUUCAAAACCAUAAUUCAAUUUCAAGACAAUUUAUAAAAUCAUUUUAUUUAAACACAUUUUACUUAUAAAACAUAAGGAUUUACCAUUAAACUCAUUUUCCAUAAAAUCACAAAAUCGGAUAAAAACCACUCUAGAUAAUUAAGAUGAUAGUAAGGUUACUCACUGUUUUCGAGAAUCAACUCGAGUACUCCGACUAUAAAUUCUUGGGUGCGACUUCCUUGCCUUUACCAGAGGGCUCACCACCUUGACAAAUUGCACAGUAAUUUAAUCACUGCAUUUGUGCUAAUUAGGUAUAAAAUUAACCUAAUUUCUACAUGAAUGCAUGGAAUGCUCGAUCAACCGCUUAAACGUGAUGUUGACCUAAUUCGGCCUAUCACCCGAUUAAAUUACUAACGCGUCCAAUUUAAUCCCAAAUUACUCCAUUUCUUUUCUAAUACCUCAAUUCACCAAACAUUAUUCAAAUAACACCAAUUUCAGCAUCAAAACCCUCCCAUUUCUUCAUGGAAAAAUUCGGCCAUUACAGUGCACUAACACCGUGAUUUUUCUUACUUAAUUUUCUCACCAUUAUUCAUCAUUUUCUAAGCCAUUUCUCUUGAAAUAAUAAUAAUCCAUCACCCACACACAUCAAGGAAGAUUCGGCCAAUGAAGAUUCAUGGGGAAAAUGGAUUCUUUUCUUGUUGUUUUGCUUGUAAAUAUGCUAAACUAACUUUAAUCACUAACAUAACUUAAAAUCAAACAAUUCCAACAUCAUUUCUCUCACCAUACCCAUUUGGCCUACCACUUAUUCACUAUGAAAUCAUGCUUCUCAACCAUAGAAAUAAGAAAAUAAAGCAUGGGUAUUGUAAAUCUCAAGUAAAAAUAAAGAAUUUUCACUUUACCUUGCUUAAUUCCUUGGAUUUUCACACUUUCUCUUGAAUUUUCCUUGGCUAGGGUUUGUUUUCUUUAUUUUCUUUCUUUCCUCUCUUGUUUUCUUGCUU